CACAAUGUGUACACACGUAAUGUAAUGAAGACAAAGACAACCACCACCUGUGUGCCAUCCUCUCGGAUUAAGGAGCAUCAAGAGCCGUGGUUUCUCCAGUGUGCCCUCCAUCUGCCCCCAGCACCCAGAGGCCCAGCGCUGGCACUGACUGUGUACGGACACUUCCCGAGGAACACCAUUACUCAGCGGUUCCCAGUUUCAACACCAUGAAGGUGGCCGACAGCAGCAGGUGGGACCUGACUCUUGAAGCAGGGAAGUUCUCCGUUAGAAGGAAGAAUCUACGGAAGAUACCAGGCACAUUCCCAAGAGAGCAGACGUUGUGGCCAGUGGAGUGAAAGUGGGCUGCAUAUGAGUUAAAACUGUUGAUACUCUGAACACCCUGAGUAGGUAUUUCUGCCAGAUGGUGUCCUAACAAAACUCUUAAAUGAAACACUGAAUGAAGUGGAGAAAUGGCCCUGUUUAAUAGAGGUUCAUUGCUGACGGUUAACUCUGUGACUACAUUAUAGCAGUGGGGCUGUUGUCUAAAAGUGAAAAUGAAAGAAAACAAAGACACAUAAGCUCAGAGCAGGAUGUGGCCGGACGAUCAGAGUUUGUCCAUCUGCCUUCUUCACCGAGAAGAAUGCAGAACAGUGGUAACUGUAAGUGGUGAUGGUGGAUGUAAUUUUUCUGUUCCUGACUCUGUGUGGAUGAAAUGAGAGUUUCUGUGGCCAGGAUUCUCACCUGGCCUUGGUUGACUAACUCACUGCACACCUGUGGGCAAUACAUGGCUG
Manis javanica (Malayan pangolin) is the source of this 770-nucleotide long non-coding RNA. RefSeq lists it as uncharacterized. The record is from RefSeq and is a predicted model, not a curated record. Lineage: Eukaryota; Metazoa; Chordata; Mammalia; Pholidota; Manidae.